CUGGAGAACUGAGGGGGGCUGCUCCUAGUACGAGAGGACCGGAGUGGAUGCAUCACUGGUGUUCGGGUUGUCAUGCCAAUGGCACUGCCCGGUAGCUAAAUGCGGAAGAGAUAAGUGCUGAAAGCAUCUAAGCACGAAACUUGCCCCGAGAUGAGUUCUCCCUGAGACUUAGAGUCUACUGAAGGCACGUUGCAGACGACGCAGUUGAUAGGCCGGGGCUGUAAGGGCCGCGAAGCGGUGACCUACCCGGU
RNAcentral lists this ribosomal RNA (251 nucleotides) under Salmonella enterica subsp. enterica serovar Heidelberg. Its description in RNAcentral is "partial 23S ribosomal RNA". It matches the Rfam family "Bacterial large subunit ribosomal RNA", at positions 2655 to 2899 of the family's 2925-position model. The record is from RNAcentral. Lineage: Bacteria; Pseudomonadati; Pseudomonadota; Gammaproteobacteria; Enterobacterales; Enterobacteriaceae.